Non-coding RNA from Oryza barthii, 132 nucleotides. Lineage: Eukaryota; Viridiplantae; Streptophyta; Magnoliopsida; Poales; Poaceae. The record is from Rfam.
UGUUAAGGUGGGGGCACCAAUAUAUCACCAUGGUGCCAGCCAUCUCUGCGAGAAGGGGAUAGAUCGACGCGUCAAGAAAUCGUUUCUGUUGCCAUGGCUCCAGUAGGCAAUACGAUUGUUGCUUGCGCACAG